This is a ribosomal RNA of Clostridium argentinense CDC 2741, 362 nucleotides long. It matches the Rfam family "Bacterial large subunit ribosomal RNA", at positions 2564 to 2925 of the family's 2925-position model. The record is from Rfam. NCBI's taxonomy places the organism in Bacteria, Bacillati, Bacillota, Clostridia, Eubacteriales, Clostridiaceae.
CCCAAGGGUUGGGCUGUUCGCCCAUUAAAGCGGCACGCGAGCUGGGUUCAGAACGUCGUGAGACAUUUGGGUCCCUUUCCGUCGCGGGGGUAGGAAAUUUGAAGGGAGCUGUCCUUAGUACGAGAGGACCGGGAUGGACAGACCUCUGGUGCACCAGUUGUCACGCCAGUGGCACAGCUGGGUAGCUAUGUCUGGAAGGGAUAAACGCUGAAAGCAUCUAAGCGUGAAGCCCCCCCUAAGAUGAGAUUUCCCAUAACAUAAGUUAGUAAGACUCCUGGAAGAACACCAGGUUGAUAGGUGAGAGGUGUAAGCAUGGUAACAUGUUCAGCUGACUCAUACUAAUAAGUCGAGGGCUUGACCUA